GGUAUCGCAGCAGGAACCUAAGUACGCCCGAGGACUUCAGGAACCAUGCCGAAGCCACACAGUGAAGCGGGAACUGCCUUCAUUCAGACCCAGCAGCUCCAUGCAGCCAUGGCUGACACCUUCCUGGAACACAUGUGCCGCCUGGACAUUGACUCUGACCCCAUCACGGCCCGCAACACUGGCAUCAUUUGUACCAUUGGGCCUGCUUCCAGAUCUGUGGAGAUGCUGAAGGAGAUGAUUAAGUCUGGAAUGAAUGUGGCUCGGCUGAAUUUCUCUCAUGUAAAUACCAUGCAGAGACCAUCAAGAAUGUCCCUGAAGCCACAGAAAGCUUUGCAUCUGAUCCCGUUCUCUAUCGUCCUGUUGCUGUGGCUCUGGAUACAAAGGGACCUGAGAUCCGGACUGGACUCAUCAAGGGCAGCAGUACUGCUGAGGUGGAGCUGAAGAAGGGAGCCACUCUUAAGAUCACCCUGGACAACACUUACAUGGAGAAGUGUGACGAGAACAUCCUGCGGCUGGACUACAAGAACAUCUGCAAGGUGGUGGAGGUGAGCAGCAAGAUCUACGUGGACGAUGGGCUCAUCUCACUGCAGGUGAAGGAGAAAGGUUCUGACUUCCUGAUGACAGAGGUGGAGAAUGGUGGCUCCUUGGGCAGCAAGAAGGGCGUGAACCUGCCCGGCGCUGCUGUGGAUCUCCCUGCUGUAUCGGAAAAGGACAUCCAGGACCUGAAGUUUGGGGUGGAGCAGGAUGUGGACAUGGUGUUUGCAUCUUUCAUCCGCAAGGCAGCCUACGUGCAUGAAGUCAGGAAGGUGCUGGGAGAGAAGGGCAAGAACAUCAAGAUCAUCAGCAAAAUCCAGAACCAUGAAGGUGUCCGCAGGUUUGAUGAGAUCUUGGAGGCCAGUGAUGGGAUCAUGGUGGCUCGUGGUGACCUGGGCAUUGAGAUUCCUGCAGAGAAGGUCUUCCUGGCUCAAAAGAUGAUGAUCGGGCGAUGCAACUGAGCUGGGAAGCCUGUCAUCUGUGCCACACAGAUUCUAGAGAGCAUGAUCAAGAAGCCACAGGCAGAGUCUGCCAUCUACCACUUGCAGCUAUUCGAGGAACUCCGCUGCCUGGCGCCCAUUACCAGCGACCACAGAAGCUGCCGCCGUGGGUGCCGUGGAGGCCUCCUUCAAGUGCUGCAGUGGGGCCAUUAUCGUGCUCACCAAGUCUGGCAGGAGUGCUCACCAAGUGGCCAGGUACUGCCCUGGGGCUCCUAUCAUUGCCGUGACGCGCAAUCCCCAGACUGCUCUCCAGGCCCAUCUGUACUGUGUCAUCUUCCCUGUGCUGUGUAAGGAUGCCGUAUUGAAUGCCUGGGCUGAGGAUGUCGACCUUCGUGUAAACUUGGCCAUGGAUGUUGACAAGGCCCGGGGCUUCUUCAAGAAGGGAGAUGUGGUCAUUGUGCUGACCGGGUGGCGCCCUGGCUCUGGAUUCACCAACACCAUGCGUGUAGUGCCUGUACCUUGAUGGCCCUCUGGAGCCCCUCUUCUAGCCCCUGUCCCUUCCCCUCCCC
Non-coding RNA from Mus caroli (Ryukyu mouse), 1543 nucleotides. Lineage: Eukaryota; Metazoa; Chordata; Mammalia; Rodentia; Muridae. The record is from RefSeq and is a predicted model, not a curated record.